This is a non-coding RNA of Otolemur garnettii (small-eared galago), 46 nucleotides long. NCBI's taxonomy places the organism in Eukaryota, Metazoa, Chordata, Mammalia, Primates, Galagidae. The record is from Rfam.
CCAAAGGCUCUUUUAAGGGCCACCUAUAUUCUCUUUAAAAAGAGCU